AAUAUUAAAAUUUUGUUUAGGCGUCAGAAUUGUUAGAUAUGAAAAUAUUCCGGUAUGAUCAUAAAAAGAAAAAAAGAUUAACGAUUUGUUUGACCUAAAUUCUGAAAAAAUAAUUUUUACAUAAUUGAUUUUUAUUUGAAAAUUUAAUUUUGGUUAAAAACUGUAGAGCGUUUGGCUGAUUUAGAUGAGAAGAUAGUUUAUUGAAGUGAUUUUGUAAAGAAUUUUGACAAAAAAUUUUCAUGUUUGCAAAUAAUAAUUUUUUUUACUAAAUUUUAUUUUAAAAUAAUUUAAAAUUUGAAUCUAAAAUCAAAAUAAAAUUUAAAAUUUGAGUUUAAAAUUAAAAUCAGAUUUCAAGAAGCGGAUUUUAGCUGUUUCUGAUUUUGACCAUCGAAAAUCAAAAGACUGAUUCUAAAAAUCAAACUCAGAUUUUAAAAAUAAGGUUGCCAAUUGCUUUAUCAAGCCAAAAAUUAUUUUUGGGCCUACAAUCACUUUUCAAAAGUUAAGCCGAACACCCACUAAUUUUUCGCUCCUUAAACAAUUUUGGCAUCCAUAAUUUGACACGAUAGCAUAUAUUAUCUAUUCU
RNAcentral lists this long non-coding RNA (583 nucleotides) under Ananas comosus (pineapple). RNAcentral describes it as "long non-coding RNA (ACOM_LNC026950)". The record is from RNAcentral. Lineage: Eukaryota; Viridiplantae; Streptophyta; Magnoliopsida; Poales; Bromeliaceae.